AUAUAUGUUUAAAGUUUGUUUUUUUAAUUUAAUUAUGUAGAAGUUAAUCAGAUGUAAAAGAAUUUUGGUUUUAUUUUGUAAUAUUUGCAAGAACUUUCCUUUGUUACCAUGGUUAUCUUCUUUUCUCAUUCUCAUUUUCCUGAUCUGUUAUUUUCACUGCUCCAGUAUUGUUUAUUUCUUUCAUAUCUUCUUUCUAUCCCAGCCUGGCCUUAUUUAUGUGUUGCCACAUUGAAUAGAUUAAAAUUAAUUAGGACAAACAAUUAUUUGUUCAGGGAAAACAUGGUAAAGAUUGCAUUCUUGCAGAAGACUUUUUAACCACUUCUGAGAGAGAGAAAGGGAAAAAACUGCUUCUAACACAACCUUUAAACAUCUUAUCCAUGAACAUCAAUUAUACUACAUUGUCAUGAUUGUACAAACAACUGUUAUAUAAGUGGGAGGUUUAGCUAGCUAUAAAGCCUGGCUUAACCCACCAUUUUCCUCAAAGGAAAUGCCUGUACCAAGUCAGGAAUAUGGCAGUUGUUUUUCAAAUGUUCUGAUUAUUGAUAGCGUUUGAAUUUGUCUUGGAGUUUGGUAUUUUUUUAUACUGUUUUUACUAAGAAAUUCAAAAUAAUAGAGAAAUGUGUAUGUGCAUAAUCAUUCCUUUCAAGAAAAUUACAUGUAAAGUAUGCAUGGUGCAUGAAUCUUGUGUCUGUCUGAAUAUAUGAAGUAUGUAAUUGGUGAAUUAAUAUUUAAAAUGGAAGGUACCCCCCUUUUGUCAAUAAUUAUCACAUCUCCAAUUCAUAGCUUUUUGUCAAUUAUUAUAUUUCCAAUUCAUAGUUGUACUUUCCCAAUACUGCUUAAUACAAUGAUGUGUCUUAUUCCUAGUCCCCACUCCAAUAUGAAUGCAAUCUUUACCCUUCAGUACUCAAAAGCACUUUGAUUAGAAUUUCACAUCAUAACACAGACUAGACGGUCACACAAUUUAAAUAAAUUCUUAUUAAAAAAAAAAAAUGUUCGUCUUUUUCAUAUUCUAUAUGUUGAAGUAGAUAUCAGGCUUAUAACAUUGUAUGCCGGGCAUAUUUUUCAUCUACAAAAGAAUUAUCAGCAAUGCACCAAUCAAAAAAGUUUUAAAGCUAAGUAAAUGUUACUAAGAAUCCAUCAAUAUCUAAUGGAACUUUUUAAACAUGAACACAAAAGAGGUUCUUUCUAGGAUGUUCAUGAUGUUUGAGCAUCAUAUGUCAUUGUUAAUAGAAUUAAUUUAACUUUGUAGAUUUACAAUUUAACAAAAUAAACAGAAAUAGCCAUCAUUUCAAAAGUUAUAGUUAUAAAAAAAAAAGAAUUUAAUACACUGUUCAGGGGUUUACUAUGAAUAUCCAGAAUAUUUUUACAUGCAUUAAUAAUUUUUUUCUUUAUUUUGUUUGAAAUAAUUAAUGCAUUAAAGUUGAAUCAUUCACCAGGCUGGCGUUUAAUAAGAAGUUAAAACUAGAAAUAAUAGAAGGGUUUAAAUUGUCUCUUAAUUUUCAUCUGACCUUAACCUUUUUUCAAGAAAAGCAGUCAUUAGUCAGAUAGAAAAAAAUAGUUUUUAAACUACCUGUAUAUUACCAUGGUUACUAUGAUAGUUUAUUUAGAUGAGAAUGGUUUAUUAAGGAAAAUACCAUUUUCAAUCUUAUGAGGAAAGGACAUUCCUCUGAUUCUGAAAAUUUGUCUUUAAAGGAGAGAUUUCCAGUGAAUUAAAUUAUUGUAAGGGAGAUAACUACUCUUUAGCAGUUGAACUGAGUGAAUCUCUUGUAAAGGGAGAUAACUGCUUUAUUAUGUCUAAUCAUAUGUAGAUUAUGUACAUAUACUUUGUUCAUGAGAAUGAUUUGUUUCUUGUUAUUAAAAAUAUCUUGAAAUAAAAUAAUGUGAAAC
This 1887-nucleotide long non-coding RNA is filed under the name Mytilus galloprovincialis (Mediterranean mussel). The record is from RNAcentral. Lineage: Eukaryota; Metazoa; Mollusca; Bivalvia; Mytilida; Mytilidae.